GUGCCCUUGGGAAUAUGGGCCUGCCAUGGGCCUGCCCUUAGCCUUCACUAAAUUUAGCUAUACCCGCAAUUUGGCUAAUCAACCAUGUCUUUGGAUAUUUCGUUGGCAUUCCGAAGUCUCAUAGUCAUCUAUCUCAUGGUCGAAAUCUUCUUCACCAUUGUGAUGAAAUGAGCUUCUAGAUUCUUUUCAAACUCUCUUGAUAGAGAUCAAUGAGAUGCUUAGGAGUCAUGCACGUCUUAGUCC
RNAcentral lists this long non-coding RNA (243 nucleotides) under Arabidopsis lyrata. RNAcentral describes it as "long non-coding RNA (ALYR_LNC001609)". The record is from RNAcentral. Lineage: Eukaryota; Viridiplantae; Streptophyta; Magnoliopsida; Brassicales; Brassicaceae.